GAUGAAGAACGUAGCGAAAUGCGAUAAGUAAUGUGAAUUGCAGAAUUCAAUGAAUCAUCGAAUCUUUGAACGCACCUUGCGCCUUUUGGUAUUCCGAAAGGCACACCUGUUUGAGCGUCAUGAAUACCUCAAUCUCCAUCUUUUCUUCGGAUUGAUGGGUGACUUGGAUGUUGAGCCCUGCUGGUAUGCUAUAUCAGCUGGCUUUAAACUUAUUAGCCGGCUCUGUACUGGAUCGGUUUGACUCGACGUGAUAAUAUUAUCGUUGAGGAUGCAUGUCUCAUGCAGCCGGAAAGUAUCAAAGCAGCUUCUAGCUUGCCUUUAGUGCACUUUUACAUUUUAGACCUCAGAUCAGGUGGGACUACCCGCUGAACUUAAGCAUAUCAAUAAGCGGAGGA
RNAcentral lists this unclassified non-coding RNA (395 nucleotides) under soil metagenome. RNAcentral describes it as "partial contains 5.8S ribosomal RNA, internal transcribed spacer 2, and large subunit ribosomal RNA". The stretch from base 1 to 120 matches the Rfam family "5.8S ribosomal RNA", at positions 35 to 154 of the family's 154-position model. The record is from RNAcentral.